Molecule: long non-coding RNA, 1695 nt
Organism: Homo sapiens (human)
Lineage: Eukaryota; Metazoa; Chordata; Mammalia; Primates; Hominidae
Gene: EFCAB6-AS1
Product: EFCAB6 antisense RNA 1
Source: Ensembl
GCAUAUCUGAAGUACCAGCUAUAAUAGAAAAGCCGCCGUGGAAACGUCUUCUUGGGGUGCCCCCGAUCGCAAUAACAGUCUGGGUGCACCAUGACAGCUUUCGCUAUGCACACAGUCACUUGGAAAGAAUCCAAUCCAUGAUCCCAAGCUGCCUUUAGUCAUCAUGGCUCCCAACUGUCUUCCAGUCUAAGAUGGUUUCUCCGUAUUUCCUUGCUUCCUCUGGCCUUGGAAGUUUUGAGGCGUGCUGGGAAUUGGCAGUGCCACCCCAGCCUUCAGCAACCAUCGACAUUGAGGUGGGACCCUCUACUAGCAAAAAGAUUACAAGAAGAUUACUUGCUGAAGGCUCAGAAGAUCACCACCAUAUUUUAGUAAUAAAGUAUUUUUAUUAAGCUAUGUAAUUUUUUUAGACAUAAUGCUAUCGCACACUUAAUAGACUACAGUAUAGUGUAAACAUAACUUUUAUAUGCAUCAGUAAAUCAAAAAAUUCAUUGACUCAUUUUAUUGCGAUAUUUGCUUUGCUACGGUCUGGAACCAAACCUGCAAAGUCUCUGAGACAUGCCUGUAUGAAGAAAUGCCACAUACAUGGGCAAAGACUCCAUGACUAAAACACCAAAAGCAAUUGCAACAAAAGCCAAAAUUGAUGAAUGGGAUCUAAUCAAAGUAAAGAGCUUCUGCAUAGCAAAAUAAACUAUCAUCAGAGUGAACAGGCAACCUACAGAAUGGAAGAAAAUUUUUGCAAUCUACCCAUCGGACAAAGGCCUAAUAUCCAGAAUCUACAAGGAACUUAAAUAAAUUUACAAGAAAAAAACAACCCCAUCAAAAAGUGGGCAAAGGAUAUGAACAGACACUUCUCAAAAGAAGACAUUUAUGUGGCCAAUAAACAUAUGAAAAAAAGCUCAUCAUCACUGGUCAUUAGAGAAAUGCAAACCAAAACCACAAUAAGAUACCCUCUUACGCCAGUUAGAAUGGUGAUUAUUAAGAAGUCAGGAAACAACAGAUGCUGGUGAGGCUGUGGAGAAAUAGGAAUGCUUUUACACUGAUGGUGGGAGUAUAAAUUAGUUCAACCACUGUGGAAGACAGUGUGGUGAUUCCUCAAAGAUCUAGAACCAGAAAUAUCAUUUGACCCAGCAAUCCCAUUACUGGGUAUAUACCCAAAGGAUUAUAAAUGAUUCUACUAUAAAGACACAUACACAUGUAUGUUUAUUGUGGCACUAUUUACAAUAGCAAAGACUUGGAACCAACCCAAAUGCCCAUCAAUGAUAGACUGGAUAAAGAAAAUGUGGCACAUACACACCACGGAAUACUAUGCAGCCAUAAAAAAUAAUGAGUUCAUGUCCUUUGCAGGGAUAUGGAUAAAGCUGGAAGCUAUAAUUCUCAGCAGACUAACAUAGGAACAGAAAAGGAGACACCACAUGUUCUCACUCAUAAGUGGGAGUUGAACAAUGAGGACACAUGAACACAGGGAGGGGAACAUCACACACUGGGGCCUAUUGUUGGGUGGGGGGCAAGGGGAGGGAAAGCAUUAGGACAAAUACCUAAUGCAUGUGGGGCUUAAAACCUAGAUGGCAGGUUGAUAAGUGUAGGAAACCACCAUGGCACAUGUAUACCUAUGUAACAAACCUGCAUGUUCUGUACAUGUAUCCCAGAACUGAAAGUAAAAUUUAAAAAAUGCCUGUAUAAACAAUGUGUAUAAAU